CUACAAGUGUGACAUCAGCGGUCAUGGAGAGUCUCCAUCCAGCUGGAUCACUGUCACAGAAAAACAUACUACCACACCUCCACCCUCCUCUACACCACCUCUCACUCCAUCAACUCCACGUCCUGACUUGUUAUCACUUGUAUUUAUCCACCUGGUGGUGUUCUGUCCAUACUUUAUCUCCACUCUCCUCGUGGUGUCUUUAUGUCGACAGUGAACUAAAGGAAAAAACAUUUGUGUGUCAAUCCAGCCCACUCAUCCUGAUCAGGGACUUGAUGAGCAUUAUGAUGUCAUUUGUGAUGUCACCACAGAGUAUCACUUCUGAAUCAGAGCUCUGUUGUGUCUCUGUGAGUUACACUAACUUUGUAAUCUCCAUCUCUGAUGUGGAGAUUAUUUAAAUAAAUGGACUCUGAUGUUCAUCUCUCAACAAUUUUUCUGUAAAUAACCAGCAAAUAUUCCUGCUCAGAGUAGAAGAUCAAUCAUGUACUGUAUGUGCACCACUGCAGCUCUGUCACUGAGUAUUGUACAAACCAUUAAAUUUAUUUCUUUUUCUGACCUGUCUUCCCAGUGUGAUGUUUGUGCAAUGUAUGUAUGCACCAUUUGUGCUUAGGAUGCUGCGCAACUCAAAGAAUGAAGGAAAAUUGCACUCCAAAAUUUUGAUUGUAAGAUAAUUACAAAAAUCCUAGAUUGAAUAAUCAUUUGGCAUCUAUUAUUCAUCCUGACCAGACGGAGUUCAUCCCUGGCAGACUUUCCUUUUUCAACGGCGAUUACUCAAUAUAAUCUAUUCCGACUACAAAAAUUAUAAGGGAGCCUCUCUUUUGGCCCUGGAUGCACAUAAAGCUUUUGAUCAGGUCAAGUGGCCCUACAUGUUUGAGUCACUGCGCAGAUUUGGAUUUCGUGUAUCUUUCAUUUAGUAGGUGAAAUUGAUUUACACAGAACCAAUGUGCUCCAUCUUGACAAAUAACAAUCGGUCUGGUCCAUUCCUUCUGCAGCGCUCGAUGCAACAGAGCUGUCCACUAUCCCCAGCACUCUUUGCCAUCAUGUUGGAGCCUCUCACUGUGGCCAUAAGACAACAUCCAGACAUGAAGGGGCUCCUUGAUCAUAUCUGUCGGUAAACUAUCAGGAUAUACAAUCAACUGGUCAAAGAGUGAGUUUAUGCCUCUUUCCAAUAAUAGCUCGCCAGAAUUUCUGCUGUAAGUUCCAUUUAAGGUAGUUAGGAAUCAUCUAGCCUACCUUGGCCUGAUCAUACAUAAAGAUCCUAAAUUAUUAUUUAAAUUGAAUUUCACUGAGUAUGUGUCAGGGCUAAAGCAAAGCAUUGAAUAUUAAAUAUUGGAAAACACUGACCUUGUCAAUGUUUGGACGCAUCAAUUUAAUCAAGAUGAUUUCUCUCCCCAAAUUUUUAUAUUUGUGUCAAAAUCUUCCCAUUUAUCCCAUUCCCAUUAUCAUACUGCUGGGAUUAGGCAGGCUUGGGAGAAUGAAUCGGGGAUGAAGGUGCCUGAAUCUAUGUGGAGUAAGUGUCUGUCUAAAAUCCAUUCUUGCUCCAUAGACGCCAAUUAAUUCAAUUUAAAAUCCUUCACCGAUUGCACUACUCUAACGUCAGACUGCACAAGAUUUAUCCUUCUAUCUCCCCAAUGUGUGGCAGGUGUAGAUAGGCAGAAGGUAUGUUGUUCCAUGCCUUUUGGUUUUGUCCCUCAUUAACAAACUUUUGGUUUAAAAUAUUUGACUGGUACUCCAGGGCAUAUAUGAAACCUCUACAGCCUGAACCUGAACUUGUAAUUUUUGGAUGUUCUCCAGCGUCAGAGGUACUCCCGGUUACCGUGCAGCGGCCAUUGGAACUAGGUUUGAUUGCUGCCAAGAGGGAAUGGAAGUCCCCCUCUCGCACUUCCUUUCAAUUGUGGGUAACAGACAUUAUGUCCAUAAUACAAAUGGAAAAGUUCAGCAAAGACUCAAAAGAUUCUGUUCUGAAUGUCUGGAACACCUUCUUGGAACACUUUGCAAGGACCAGAUUGGACUGGACCCAGAUUUGUAAACUCUCAUCAACUCCAGCUUUUGGUACUCUAUCCUGUGGUGUUUUGUGAAGUGCAUGUUUGUCUGAAUUCAUUGUUUUUUCUGUAACACAUCUGAGCCGGUUUGUUUUUGUUUUAUAUUUUUAAAAUCUAAAAUAAAGUUAUCAAAAAAACAAAACAAAACAUUGCAUGUGUUGGAAUUUAUAUUUUUUAUAUUGUCACUUGUGCUAAAAUAUAUAGAUAUAUAAUCAUUGCCUUUAUGUGUCCUAAUAUGCCUGUCAUUAUGAAGAAAAAGCCAGACAGUCAGAGGAUUUAUUUUCAACCUUCUAAUAUUUCCUUUAUCUGUGUCUGUGCUGACAAAAUGUGAUUUCUUUAUUUAGAGUGCAGCUUAGUCCAGAGAUGAGCUAUGUUAUACAUUUGGAAAGCACCAUGUUCUGUUCAGACUUCACACCUUUAAAUGUGCAUUUGAGAUAUGACCUAUUGCAAGUUCAUGUUUUUAUAGUUUAGCAAGAUGCUUAUUUCUGCUUUUCUG
Long non-coding RNA from Oreochromis aureus, 2535 nucleotides. RefSeq lists it as uncharacterized. The transcript is spliced from 3 exons. The record is from RefSeq and is a predicted model, not a curated record. Lineage: Eukaryota; Metazoa; Chordata; Actinopteri; Cichliformes; Cichlidae.